AGAGUUUGAUCCUGGCUCAGGUUGAACGCUAGCGGGAUGCCUUACACAUGCAAGUCGAACGGCAGCGCGGACUUCGGUCUGGCGGCGAGUGGCGAACGGGUGAGUAAUGUAUCGGAACGUGCCCAGUAGCGGGGGAUAACUACUCGAAAGAGUAGCUAAUACCGCAUACGCCCUACGGGGGAAAGGGGGGGAUCGCAAGACCUCUCACUAUUGGAGCGGCCGAUAUCGGAUUAGCUAGUUGGUGAGGUAAAGGCUCACCAAGGCGACGAUCCGUAGCUGGUUUGAGAGGACGACCAGCCACACUGGGACUGAGACACGGCCCAGACUCCUACGGGAGGCAGCAGUGGGGAAUUUUGGAC
Molecule: ribosomal RNA, 359 nt
Filed under: uncultured Alcaligenaceae bacterium
Lineage: Bacteria; Pseudomonadati; Pseudomonadota; Betaproteobacteria; Burkholderiales; Alcaligenaceae
Description: bacterial SSU rRNA
Rfam family: Bacterial small subunit ribosomal RNA
Source: RNAcentral